This 2902-nucleotide ribosomal RNA is filed under the name Escherichia coli. Its description in RNAcentral is "bacterial LSU rRNA". It matches the Rfam family "Bacterial large subunit ribosomal RNA". Lineage: Bacteria; Pseudomonadati; Pseudomonadota; Gammaproteobacteria; Enterobacterales; Enterobacteriaceae. The record is from RNAcentral.
UUAAGCGACUAAGCGUACACGGUGGAUGCCCUGGCAGUCAGAGGCGAUGAAGGACGUGCUAAUCUGCGAUAAGCGUCGGUAAGGUGAUAUGAACCGUUAUAACCGGCGAUUUCCGAAUGGGGAAACCCAGUGUGAUUCGUCACACUAUCAUUAACUGAAUCCAUAGGUUAAUGAGGCGAACCGGGGGAACUGAAACAUCUAAGUACCCCGAGGAAAAGAAAUCAACCGAGAUUCCCCCAGUAGCGGCGAGCGAACGGGGAGCAGCCCAGAGCCUGAAUCAGUGUGUGUGUUAGUGGAAGCGUCUGGAAAGGCGCGCGAUACAGGGUGACAGCCCCGUACACAAAAAUGCACAUACUGUGAGCUCGAUGAGUAGGGCGGGACACGUGGUAUCCUGUCUGAAUAUGGGGGGACCAUCCUCCAAGGCUAAAUACUCCUGACUGACCGAUAGUGAACCAGUACCGUGAGGGAAAGGCGAAAAGAACCCCGGCGAGGGGAGUGAAAAAGAACCUGAAACCGUGUACGUACAAGCAGUGGGAGCACGCUUAGGCGUGUGACUGCGUACCUUUUGUAUAAUGGGUCAGCGACUUAUAUUCUGUAGCAAGGUUAACCGAAUAGGGGAGCCGAAGGGAAACCGAGUCUUAACUGGGCGUUAAGUUGCAGGGUAUAGACCCGAAACCCGGUGAUCUAGCCAUGGGCAGGUUGAAGGUUGGGUAACACUAACUGGAGGACCGAACCGACUAAUGUUGAAAAAUUAGCGGAUGACUUGUGGCUGGGGGUGAAAGGCCAAUCAAACCGGGAGAUAGCUGGUUCUCCCCGAAAGCUAUUUAGGUAGCGCCUCGUGAAUUCAUCUCCGGGGGUAGAGCACUGUUUCGGCAAGGGGGUCAUCCCGACUUACCAACCCGAUGCAAACUGCGAAUACCGGAGAAUGUUAUCACGGGAGACACACGGCGGGUGCUAACGUCCGUCGUGAAGAGGGAAACAACCCAGACCGCCAGCUAAGGUCCCAAAGUCAUGGUUAAGUGGGAAACGAUGUGGGAAGGCCCAGACAGCCAGGAUGUUGGCUUAGAAGCAGCCAUCAUUUAAAGAAAGCGUAAUAGCUCACUGGUCGAGUCGGCCUGCGCGGAAGAUGUAACGGGGCUAAACCAUGCACCGAAGCUGCGGCAGCGACGCUUAUGCGUUGUUGGGUAGGGGAGCGUUCUGUAAGCCUGUGAAGGUGUGCUGUGAGGCAUGCUGGAGGUAUCAGAAGUGCGAAUGCUGACAUAAGUAACGAUAAAGCGGGUGAAAAGCCCGCUCGCCGGAAGACCAAGGGUUCCUGUCCAACGUUAAUCGGGGCAGGGUGAGUCGACCCCUAAGGCGAGGCCGAAAGGCGUAGUCGAUGGGAAACAGGUUAAUAUUCCUGUACUUGGUGUUACUGCGAAGGGGGGACGGAGAAGGCUAUGUUGGCCGGGCGACGGUUGUCCCGGUUUAAGCGUGUAGGCUGGUUUUCCAGGCAAAUCCGGAAAAUCAAGGCUGAGGCGUGAUGACGAGGCACUACGGUGCUGAAGCAACAAAUGCCCUGCUUCCAGGAAAAGCCUCUAAGCAUCAGGUAACAUCAAAUCGUACCCCAAACCGACACAGGUGGUCAGGUAGAGAAUACCAAGGCGCUUGAGAGAACUCGGGUGAAGGAACUAGGCAAAAUGGUGCCGUAACUUCGGGAGAAGGCACGCUGAUAUGUAGGUGAAGUCCCUCGCGGAUGGAGCUGAAAUCAGUCGAAGAUACCAGCUGGCUGCAACUGUUUAUUAAAAACACAGCACUGUGCAAACACGAAAGUGGACGUAUACGGUGUGACGCCUGCCCGGUGCCGGAAGGUUAAUUGAUGGGGUCAGCGCAAGCGAAGCUCUUGAUCGAAGCCCCGGUAAACGGCGGCCGUAACUAUAACGGUCCUAAGGUAGCGAAAUUCCUUGUCGGGUAAGUUCCGACCUGCACGAAUGGCGUAAUGAUGGCCAGGCUGUCUCCACCCGAGACUCAGUGAAAUUGAACUCGCUGUGAAGAUGCAGUGUACCCGCGGCAAGACGGAAAGACCCCGUGAACCUUUACUAUAGCUUGACACUGAACAUUGAGCCUUGAUGUGUAGGAUAGGUGGGAGGCUUUGAAGUGUGGACGCCAGUCUGCAUGGAGCCGACCUUGAAAUACCACCCUUUAAUGUUUGAUGUUCUAACGUUGACCCGUAAUCCGGGUUGCGGACAGUGUCUGGUGGGUAGUUUGACUGGGGCGGUCUCCUCCUAAAGAGUAACGGAGGAGCACGAAGGUUGGCUAAUCCUGGUCGGACAUCAGGAGGUUAGUGCAAUGGCAUAAGCCAGCUUGACUGCGAGCGUGACGGCGCGAGCAGGUGCGAAAGCAGGUCAUAGUGAUCCGGUGGUUCUGAAUGGAAGGGCCAUCGCUCAACGGAUAAAAGGUACUCCGGGGAUAACAGGCUGAUACCGCCCAAGAGUUCAUAUCGACGGCGGUGUUUGGCACCUCGAUGUCGGCUCAUCACAUCCUGGGGCUGAAGUAGGUCCCAAGGGUAUGGCUGUUCGCCAUUUAAAGUGGUACGCGAGCUGGGUUUAGAACGUCGUGAGACAGUUCGGUCCCUAUCUGCCGUGGGCGCUGGAGAACUGAGGGGGGCUGCUCCUAGUACGAGAGGACCGGAGUGGACGCAUCACUGGUGUUCGGGUUGUCAUGCCAAUGGCACUGCCCGGUAGCUAAAUGCGGAAGAGAUAAGUGCUGAAAGCAUCUAAGCACGAAACUUGCCCCGAGAUGAGUUCUCCCUGACUCCUUGAGAGUCCUGAAGGAACGUUGAAGACGACGACGUUGAUAGGCCGGGUGUGUAAGCGCAGCGAUGCGUUGAGCUAACCGGUACUAAUGAACCGUGAGGCUUAACCUU